AGAACGAACGGUGGCGGCGUGGAUAAGACAUGCAAGUCGAACGGGACUUUCAGUGUAGCAAUACAUUGAAAGUUCAGUGGCGUAAGGGUGCGUAACACGUGGGAAAUCUGCCGAGAAGUGGGGGAUAGCUCGCCGAAAGGCGAAUUAAUACCGCAUGUGGUCAGCGAGGACAUCCUCGCGAAACCAAAGCCGGGGCAACCUGGCGCUUCUUGAUGAUCCCGCGGCCUAUCAGCUAGGUUGGCGGGUAAAACGCCCACCAAGCUAUGACGGGUAGCUGGUCUGAGAGGACGACAGCCACACUGGAACUGAGACACGGUCAGACCACCGUACGGGUGCGAGCAGUCGAGUAAUUUUUCACUAAGGUCGGGGAAACCCUGGAAGGACGCGACGCCGCGUGGAGAUGGACGGUCUAGGUAUUACGUAAACUCCGUGUCUAGUAAGGAACUAAAUCCUUACGAAGUUAACC
This 466-nucleotide ribosomal RNA is filed under the name uncultured soil bacterium. RNAcentral's name for it is "bacterial SSU rRNA". It matches the Rfam family "Bacterial small subunit ribosomal RNA", at positions 26 to 471 of the family's 1533-position model. The record is from RNAcentral.